GCGGCGAACGGGUGAGUAACACGUGGGCAACCUGCCCUUAAGCCCGGGAUAACAACCCGAAAGAGUUGCUAAUACCGGAUAGGUUCUUUGACCCACCUGGGUUAAAGAGGAAAGAUUUAUCGCUUAAGGAUGGGCCCGCGUCCCAUUAGCUAGUUGGUGAGGUAACGGCUCACCAAGGCGACGAUGGGUAGCUGGUCUGAGAGGACGAUCAGCCACACUGGAACUGAGACACGGUCCAGACUCCUACGGGAGGCAGCAGUGGGGAAUCUUGCACAAUGGGCGAAAGCCUGAUGCAGCAACGCCGUGUGAGCGAUGACGGCCUUCGGGUUGUAAAGCUCUGUCAGGGGGGACGAUAAUGACGGUACCCCCAGAGGAAGCCCCGGCUAACUACGUGCCAGCAGCCGCGGUAAUACGUAGGGGGCGAGCGUUGUCCGGAAUUACUGGGCGUAAAGGGCGUGUAGGCGGCCUUUCAAGUCAGCUGUGAAAUUCCCGGGCUCAACCCGGGGAUUGCAGUUGAAACUGAAGGGCUUGAGUGCAGGAGAGGAGAGUGGAAUUCCUAGUGUAGCGGUGAUAUGCGUAGAUAUUAGGAGGAACACCAGUGGCGAAGGCGGCUCUCUGGACUGUAACUGACGCUGAGGCGCGAAAGCGUGGGGAGCAAACAGGAUUAGAUACCCUGGUAGUCCACGCCGUAAACGAUGGGUACUAGGUGUAGGGGGUUUAGAUACCUUCUGUGCCGCAGCUAACGCAUUAAGUACCCCGCCUGGGG
RNAcentral lists this ribosomal RNA (766 nucleotides) under uncultured bacterium. Its description in RNAcentral is "bacterial SSU rRNA". It matches the Rfam family "Bacterial small subunit ribosomal RNA", at positions 95 to 878 of the family's 1533-position model. The record is from RNAcentral.